GGUGUGCAUCCCAAUAUUUUGACAUACAACAUUCUGUUAGAUGGACUUUGUAAAAAUGGGAAGCUAGCGAAAGCAAUGGUUGUAUUCGAGUAUCUGCAAAGGAGUACAAUGGAACCUGAUAUUUACACAUAUAAUAUUAUGAUUGAAGGGAUGUGCAAGGCAGGGAAGGUGGAAGAUGGGUGGGAAUUGUUUUGUAAUCUCAGCCUUAAAGGAGUGAGCCCUAAUGUUAUAGCCUACAAUACAAUGAUAUCAGGAUUUUGUAGGAAAGGUUCAAAGGAGGAAGCAGAUUCCCUGUUAAAAAAAAUGAAAGAAGAUGGGCCUCUUCCAAAUAGUGGUACCUAUAAUACGCUGAUUAGGGCACGCCUUAGAGAUGGUGACAGAGAAGCAUCAGCUGAACUCAUCAAAGAAAUGAGGAGUUGCGGGUUUGCUGGAGAUGCUUCAACCAUUGGCUUGGUCACUAAUAUGUUACAUGAUGGGAGAUUGGACAAAAGCUUCCUCGAUAUGCUUUCUUAAUGCUAUUUAUCUCAUUUUCAGUAUCAAUUUUUGUUAUGUUUAUUUUCUGUCAAAACUCAAAAGUAUCUCAAUUCUCAUUUCUUAUACUUUAAUAUGCAAUUCCUGAAAAUCAGAUUAUUAGUGUACAUCUUCAGCAAUAAGUAUGUAUCAAUUUCCACAUUUUUUUUCUCCUUCUAAUUUUAGUUGAUGAAACAGUCAAACAGAAAUUGUUUAAACUUUCAUGAUGUACCAUUUUGUUUUUGUUGUAAUGUGAUAUUUUAUUAAACAACAAAAAAUUCUAGACAAAGAGGUACUUAUAUGUUAAUUCUUACCAAGAAGUCUAAAGAAAAUAGAUGUGUCCGUUAAAGCAGUUGAAAGACAAACCGAGAUGAAUCCCAAAACGAAUACGGACUUAUUGCGAGGAAGGAAUCGAGCAUGAGAGAUGACCCAAGAAGAGUCGAAAGAUGAUUAAAUUUUCUGAUAACUUUUUUUUAUGCUUAACCGGAUCUAACAUUUUGUUAAACCAACCUAAACCAUGCUCAAUUCCGAUUCCCUAAUCUGAUAAGCACGAAUCACAUCUGUUCUCUAUUUGCAGAGCUCGAAAUUUAAGAGAGAAAUUGAGAAGCCAAAUCGAGAGAAUGCUUGCAAAAAUAUCAUCUUCAGCGAAGAGAUUUGUUCAUCGGAGUCUUGUGGUGAGAGGUAAUGCUGCAACUUUUCCUCUCUCUUUUUCCUUUUGCCGGAGAAGAGCUUUUUCUGGUAAGACUAGUUAUGAUUACAGAGAGGUACUUAGAACUGGGCUGAGUGAUAUUGAAUUAGAUGAUGCAAUUGGUUUGUUCGGUGUUAUGGCACAGUCUCGUCCUUUCCCUUCGAUUAUUGAGUUCAGUAAACUGUUGAGUGCCAUUGCUAAGAUGAACAAGUUCGAUCUUGUCAUCUCCUUCGGGGAGAAGAUGGAGAUUUUAGGAAUUUCACAUAAUCUCUAUACUUACAAUAUUUUGAUUAACUGUUUCUGUCGAUGUUCUCGACUCUCUCUUGCUUUAGCUCUUCUUGGCAAGAUGAUGAAACUCGGCUAUGAGCCCGAUAUUGUCACGCUUAACUCGCUGCUCAAUGGUUUCUGUCACGGGAAUAGGAUUUCUGAUGCCGUAGCUUUGGUUGAUCAAAUGGUCGAAAUGGGAUAUAAACCCGAUACGGUGACAUUCACAACUCUAAUUCAUGGACUUUUUCUUCACAACAAAGCUUCAGAAGCAGUGGCUUUAAUUGAUCGAAUGGUUCAAAGAGGCUGUCAACCAGAUCUGGUUACUUAUGGUGCGGUAGUUAAUGGAUUAUGUAAGAGAGGUGAUACUGAUUUGGCUUUAAAUCUGCUCAACAAGAUGGAAGCUGCGAAAAUAGAGGCCAAUGUUGUGAUCUACAGCACAGUCAUAGAUAGUCUCUGCAAAUAUAGACAUGAGGAUGAUGCACUCAACUUGUUCACUGAAAUGGAAAACAAAGGAGUUAGACCAAAUGUUAUCACCUACAGCUCCCUCAUAAGUUGCCUUUGUAAUUACGGAAGAUGGAGUGAUGCUUCUCGACUACUCAGUGAUAUGAUUGAGAGGAAAAUCAAUCCAAAUUUAGUCACUUUCAGCGCAUUGAUUGAUGCAUUUGUGAAGAAGGGGAAGCUUGUAAAGGCUGAGAAAUUGUACGAGGAGAUGAUCAAAAGGUCCAUAGAUCCUAAUAUUUUCACUUAUAGUUCACUGAUCAAUGGGUUUUGUAUGCUCGAUCGCCUUGGUGAGGCUAAGCAGAUGCUUGAGUUGAUGAUUAGGAAGGAUUGUCUACCAAACGUAGUCACUUAUAAUACGCUUAUAAAUGGAUUUUGUAAGGCUAAGAGAGUAGACAAAGGUAUGGAACUCUUCCGCGAGAUGUCUCAAAGAGGAUUGGUUGGCAACACAGUCACUUACACCACUCUUAUCCAUGGAUUUUUUCAAGCUAGAGAUUGUGAUAAUGCCCAAAUGGUUUUCAAACAGAUGGUUUCUGUUGGUGUGCAUCCCAAUAUUUUGACAUACAACAUUCUGUUAGAUGGACUUUGUAAAAAUGGGAAGCUAGCGAAAGCAAUGGUUGUAUUCGAGUAUCUGCAAAGGAGUACAAUGGAACCUGAUAUUUACACAUAUAAUAUUAUGAUUGAAGGGAUGUGCAAGGCAGGGAAGUGGAAGAUGGGUGGGAUCUAUUUUGUAGCCUCAGCCUUAAAGGAGUGAAGCCUAAUGUUGUAACCUACACAACAAUGAUCUCAGGAUUUUGUAGGAAAGGUUUAAACAAAGAAGCAGAUGCCUUGUUUAGAGAUAUGAAAGAAGAUGGGACUCUUCCAGAUAGCGGUUGCUAUAAGAUGCCAUCUUAGAGAAUGGUGACAAAGCAGCAUCAGCUGAACUCAUCAAAGAAUUGAGGAGUUGCAGGUUUGCUGGAGAUGCUUCAACCUUUGGCUUGGUCACUAAUAUGUUGUAUGGGGAGAUUGGACAAAAGCUUUUUGGAAAUGCUUUCCUAAACUAUCCUUGAAGUGAGUAAGCCUUUUUUAAUAAGUUAUUACUUCUCAAUAGUCAAUACAAUCCUUAUGUUCAUGAGUAUGCCUGAUUAGCUUUCUGUGAACCAGCAUUGAAGUUUUAGUGAACAUUUUGAGUUGUGAUUUGGUUUUUUAUCUUCUGUAUCCAAUAUUGUUCAUAUCUUAUAAACGAGACAUUCUCAAUUAUGUUAAUCAAAUUUGGAAACUUUUAUCUUUGUUUCGUGCAUUAGGAAACUUGCAAAUUGUUAAUUUCUCCUAUAGAAGAAAAUGGUUCUGAUGCGAAUCAUGUAUGUACCAGAAGCUGUCUUUGAACAGGUGGAGCUGCAUCGCACUCCAUUUCACAUGGGAACUCUUGUUUUGCAGGCUCAAUGACGGUUUCAGAAGAUGAUAUCCAAACUAAUGUGAGUAUAUGAGAGAGUGUAGCAGCUGUAAUCUCAUCAAAUGAAAGAUAUUUCAGUGUUCAAGUAUUACUUCUCAAUGCAGUCAGUAUGUUCCCAUGGUGUAGUUCAUUGCACAUUGGAACAGUUCGUUCUUUUUUGUGUUGAACUUGAAUUACUAUCGUUGUUUUUUGUAGUUCCUAGUGGAAUUAUGAACAUGUGUGUGGCUGGACAAACAUACACGUAGUACCAGGUUUAGUACUUGAAUUAUGAACUUGCAGAGAUGGUUCAAUGGCAUAGUUCCCAUCGUCAAUUUCAUUGAUUGAAUUUCCCUUGCCAGAAAUUUCUGUUUUAUCAUAAAUUUUGAGAAGUAGUUUUGGUUUUACGGGGUUUCUUCAUUUCUGAAAUUAGGGAUUUUAUUUCAGGGUAAGAAAUCCCAAGAAGAAAUGAAGAAGAAAGUUAGUACGCAUGCAUAUGGAGCCUGCUCUUCCUUUGAAGAUGGACCUUGAUAGACCGAUUCUUCCUCGGUAUGGAAUGUUAGAUCAGUAUCAUUAUGAAAUAAUUCCUUUGAAUUCCGAUGCUUACUCUGCCAUUAGAUAUGAGAAUGUAUGAAAAUCUUCCUUAGGUUCUAUAGCAUAAUGUGAAGAUUGAAAUAUGGUUUGAUCAGUUGCUGUUUCUGACUUUUGAAAUUUGGUCAGUUAGAAAUUUACAUGAAACUUCAUAAUGGUUACAUUUGUAGACUACAUAGGGUUUUAGAUAUUCACAUAGGGCAUUCUCAUCUUCAGUUUGGUGAAUCAAGCAAUUACUAUAUACCUAUUUAUCUGGAGUAUUCAGGUUUCAGAGACCAACUGGCCCAAUUCCCUCGUUGAUGCUUGACCUUGAAGUCUACACAGGAGCUAUAGAUGAUUUUGAUUUUGAGGAUUACUUGAAUGGUAAUUGUUUUACAGCUCUUUCUCAUACUUUUUAGACUGUUUUACACCAAAAAAAAAAGAAACCCUAUAUAUUUGUCUGCUUCUACAAUGGUCAUUGCUCAAAUAGUGACUAUCAUAUACUACUUGCAGUGUGUAAACCAAGCAUCCUUGUCUUGCAGAAAGUUGAACUCUUUGAGUAUAUAAGAGAAAAACUGUUUAGACUUGUUUCUUUUCUUAGUUUCACCAUUUUAUGGGUUGUUCUGAUAAGUAGUAUCUACUCCGCAGAUCCUCGAGAAUCCAAGAUGCUCAAACCAGUUGACUUCCACCACCACGUCAUGGAAGUUGGGGUUAGUCUCUCCAAAGGCCCAGCUUAACCAAGUUCCUUGUAGGUCAAAACAGUUUAUACUUUAUAAUGCCAUCAAAGUAUUGAAACUGGACUCUACUUGUAUGUUUGUGCAGCCUAACGCUGGGGAAAUGAUCCUUGCAGCGCCGUCAUCAAGUUCAGGGACCAAAACUCUUGUCGAAAGCUUCAACAAUAAGUCUGGUGACUAAUAUAUAAAUAGCUGAUUUGGAUAGUGUGAGAUCAACAUGGUGUUGCUAGACAAGUGUGCAGAAUGAGAUAAUUUUAUAUUAGAACAGCCAUGUAUUUUCUUGUGAUGUUUCAUGUUCUUAACUUCUCUUAUUUACACGGUUCCUUUUUGAGCUGCUACUGACCAUGAGAGGUGUUAUGUGUUUAACGCAAUAACUUUUUGUUAGUGCCUUGAAAUAUAUGUUUUCUCAUGUAAGUUGUCCUUGUAACUAAGCUUUUCAUAAUUGAUGACAUCAGUACUGAUCUUUUUACUUUUAUUUUUGUUAAUGAUAUAUUAUAACCUCGAGAAUUUUCUCAUAUGUAGACGAAAUCUUGGAAAAACUUCUGGUACGUAUUAUUUUCUUAACUCUUGGCAUCUUAUUUUUGAAAUCAGGUGUUUAGGUCAAUAGCGGAAACAGAGCCUAGUGAUGUGAAGUUAGGGCUGGACUUGGUGAGCUCUAUGAAGGAAGAGCUUGAGUUAUGUCCUUCAACAUGCUUGUGCCAAUGCCAAAUAUAAGCAGAACGCUAGCUCUACCUGUAUGGAAAGAGUACAAAUUUGAAGAACUUCCUUACAAUGUCCUCACAAGUAUUUAAUGCAAGAGCUCUUUUAUCUCCUACAUUUAAAAGAAUGAUUUUGAACUUUUCUUAGUCAUCGUAUCUAAAAGAGUGGCUUUUUCUUAGUAGAGAGUUCUUUUUUUUUUUUUGAUAAAUCCUAUCGACUAAUCCGGUCAGCCUCGGUAGAAACGCACCGAAGUACUUCAGAGUAGACUUCUCCCCGAAAGACCACACUGUCUGUCUCGAGUUUGGAAUUCUUAGUAGAGAGUUUAAUAGGGCACAUCUUAGAGAUGGUGACAAGGAAAAGUUUACUCUUAAAAAUGUUCAUAAAAGCAAGGUUUAUUAAAACUGAAAAUUGCAAGUGUUGUUCUUCCGUCUAAUGGUUUAUUUAUCUGAUUCUCGUAUUGACAAUAUGGAGAUAAUGUUUCUGUUUAUGGAAAAGCAAGGUGAAGAGGCAUCUUUACCUACGCUCAUAAACCUGAACAAAAGAGACAUUAACUGAACAAUAUUAAACCAAAUCGUACCAGAGAAGAGAAGUCAGAGUGAACCGGUCGGUUAUUAAAACUGGAAUAUUUAAGAAGAAAUCUUGACCGUCAAAAUUACCAAAAUGAUCCAACGGCGCAGAAACGCGAGAUCCCUCCGUCUUCAAGGUUAAACAAUAAUGACAAGUUGUGUUCAUUUAGGGAUUGUCGCAUCACAAUCGAAGAAGAUGAGUUUGGCGAAGAGAUUUGCUCAGCUGAGGAAAGCUUCUCCAUUGUUUUCCCUUCGAGGUGUCUAUUUCUCUGCUGCGAGUUAUGACUACAGAGAGAAAUUGAGUAGAAAUGUGUUGCUCGAUUUGAAGCUAGAUGAUGCGGUUGAUCUGUUCGGUGAGAUGGUACAGUCUCGUCCUUUACCUUCCAUUGUUGAAUUCAAUAAACUGUUGAGUGCCAUUGCUAAGAUGAACAAGUUUGAUCUUGUCAUCUCUCUCGGCGAGCGGAUGCAAAAUCUGAGGAUUUCAUAUGACCUCUAUUCGUACAAUAUUUUGAUUAACUGUUUUUGUCGACGCUCUCAACUCCCUCUUGCUUUAGCUGUUCUUGGCAAGAUGAUGAAACUCGGCUAUGAGCCCGAUAUUGUCACGCUUUCUUCGCUCCUCAAUGGGUACUGCCACGGUAAGAGGAUAUCCGAGGCUGUAGCUUUGGUUGAUCAAAUGUUCGUAAUGGAGUAUCAACCCAAUACCGUCACAUUUAACACUCUAAUCCAUGGGCUUUUUCUUCACAACAAAGCUUCCGAAGCAGUGGCUUUAAUUGAUCGAAUGGUUGCCAGAGGGUGUCAACCAGAUCUAUUUACUUAUGGUACCGUAGUAAACGGAUUAUGUAAGAGAGGUGAUAUUGAUUUGGCUUUGAGUUUGUUAAAGAAGAUGGAGAAAGGGAAAAUAGAGGCUGAUGUUGUGAUCUACACCACUAUCAUUGAUGCUCUUUGCAACUACAAAAACGUGAAUGAUGCACUCAAUCUGUUCACUGAAAUGGAUAACAAAGGAAUUAGACCAAAUGUUGUUACCUACAACUCCCUCAUAAGAUGCCUUUGUAAUUACGGAAGAUGGAGUGAUGCUUCUCGACUACUCAGUGAUAUGAUUGAGAGGAAAAUCAAUCCAAAUGUAGUCACUUUCAGCGCAUUGAUUGAUGCAUUUGUGAAGGAAGGGAAGCUUGUAGAGGCUGAGAAAUUGUACGACGAGAUGAUCAAAAGGUCUAUAGAUCCUGAUAUUUUCACUUAUAGUUCACUGAUCAAUGGGUUUUGUAUGCACGAUCGUUUAGACGAGGCCAAGCACAUGUUUGAGUUGAUGAUUAGCAAGGACUGUUUCCCAAACGUAGUGACUUACAAUACUCUUAUAAAGGGAUUUUGUAAGGCUAAGAGAGUAGAAGAAGGUAUGGAACUCUUCCGCGAGAUGUCUCAAAGAGGAUUGGUUGGCAACACAGUCACUUACAACACUCUUAUCCAAGGGUUAUUUCAAGCUGGAGAUUGUGAUAUGGCUCAAAAAAUAUUCAAAAAGAUGGUAUCUGAUGGCGUGCCUCCCGAUAUCAUAACAUACAGCAUUCUGUUAGAUGGACUCUGUAAAUAUGGGAAGCUGGAGAAAGCAUUGGUGGUAUUCGAGUAUCUGCAAAAGAGUAAAAUGGAACCUGAUAUUUACACAUAUAAUAUUAUGAUUGAAGGGAUGUGCAAGGCAGGGAAGGUGGAAGAUGGGUGGGAUCUAUUUUGUAGCCUCAGCCUUAA
Molecule: long non-coding RNA, 7674 nt
Filed under: Arabidopsis thaliana (thale cress)
Lineage: Eukaryota; Viridiplantae; Streptophyta; Magnoliopsida; Brassicales; Brassicaceae
Description: long non-coding RNA (ATHA_LNC000612)
Source: RNAcentral